AACGCACCUUGCGCUCCUUGGUAUUCCGAGGAGCAUGCCUGUUUGAGUGUCAUUAAAUUCUCAAUCUCUACAACUUUGUGUUGUCUAGAUCGGAAGUGGGGGUCUAUUGUGUGGAAUCUAAUUCCUCACUCCCCUUAAAUGCAUUAGCUGGAAUGCCUCUGCAUAUCUGACUAUCAGUGUGAUAAUUAUCUAUACUGUAGUUGUUGCAUGAGGGUAUCUGCUUCAUAAAUCGUCGCAAGACAAUUCUAUAUGACCAUCUUGACCUCAAAUCAGGUAGGACUACCCGCUGAACUUAA
This 296-nucleotide unclassified non-coding RNA is filed under the name uncultured Conocybe. Its description in RNAcentral is "sequence contains ITS2". The stretch from base 1 to 52 matches the Rfam family "5.8S ribosomal RNA", at positions 103 to 154 of the family's 154-position model. The record is from RNAcentral. Lineage: Eukaryota; Fungi; Basidiomycota; Agaricomycetes; Agaricales; Bolbitiaceae.